Ictalurus punctatus (channel catfish) is the source of this 606-nucleotide long non-coding RNA. NCBI's taxonomy places the organism in Eukaryota, Metazoa, Chordata, Actinopteri, Siluriformes, Ictaluridae. The record is from Ensembl.
AUUGUGUCUAUCCCGGACAUCGUAGACGAAAUCAGGUUUCUGAACAAGGCAAGCGGUACGUGCGUUGUUAUUCUUUAUAAUUGUUCGAUCCUAUGUAUGAUGUGUAUGUGUUUAAUACUUUUACUUCUUUUUUCACAAAGGGUCGAACACAGAAGUCCCGCGAGUCAGGUUUGAAAACCCCGUGCUGGGCUUGUCAAAUCUUGUAGACAAGAUCGCUGCACCCGAGUUCAAAAAUAGUGCUGCGGUCUCCACUGAACUCGGUAUACCAACGAACUCUGGAAAGGCCAAGCGUAAAACAGUCGCUCAGGUCCACAGCGCGGGUGUCGCUACGUCUAAACGUAAACGAUCAAGAUCUCCCCCACGAUCGACAGAAGAGUCAUCUGUGAAUGAACCGAGCGCUAUAGACUCGUGUUUGAAUUGGAAUCAGGAGCUGUUAGAUUCGUGGGACGCAUGUGUAUUUACCCCGGUUCCCGGAGACGAUCUGCCUUCAAACCAAGAAGCAUUUGGUCGCGAGGCUACUGAUGUUAUAGACAAUAACAGAGACUCGGCGGAGGUGAUACGAACCGGGUUCAAGGCCGUCGAGGACCGUAUUGCUGGUUUUGAAAA